CGGUGUUUGGCACCUCGAUGUCGGCUCAUCACAUCCUGGGGCUGAAGUAGGUCCCAAGGGUAUGGCUGUUCGCCAUUUAAAGUGGUACGCGAGCUGGGUUUAGAACGUCGUGAGACAGUUCGGUCCCUAUCUGCCGUGGGCGCUGGAGAACUGAGGGGGGCUGCUCCUAGUACGAGAGGACCGGAGUGGACGCAUCACUGGUGUUCGGGUUGUCAUGCCAAUGGCACUGCCCGGUAGCUAAAUGCGGAAGAGAUAAGUGCUGAAAGCAUCUAAGCACGAAACUUGCC
RNAcentral lists this ribosomal RNA (287 nucleotides) under Escherichia coli. RNAcentral's name for it is "partial 23S ribosomal RNA". It matches the Rfam family "Bacterial large subunit ribosomal RNA", at positions 2512 to 2798 of the family's 2925-position model. The record is from RNAcentral. Lineage: Bacteria; Pseudomonadati; Pseudomonadota; Gammaproteobacteria; Enterobacterales; Enterobacteriaceae.